Molecule: non-coding RNA, 256 nt
Organism: Cinara cedri
Lineage: Eukaryota; Metazoa; Arthropoda; Insecta; Hemiptera; Aphididae
Source: the annotation of a GenBank genome assembly
GGUUUAAUGAGCAAAAAUUGACUUUUUUGAGAUUCGGCUUUUAAAUUAUUCUCGUUUUCGCGUUAGGCACAAGACAGAAGAAGUUUCUACAAGAUUUAUUAAUGAAUUAUUUACUACAUCCUCUCCCACUGAAAAUUCCCGGGCACGCCACUGAGUGGCGGCGUAUACGUAUACACAAUAUUAAUUUUAUGAUGUAUUAUAUUAUUAUAUACAGUUUUGGAUACGAUCAAACGUACCGGCCGACUCGACGUGACGU